Small nucleolar RNA from Macadamia integrifolia, 216 nucleotides. RefSeq annotates it as small nucleolar RNA U3. The record is from RefSeq and is a predicted model, not a curated record. Lineage: Eukaryota; Viridiplantae; Streptophyta; Magnoliopsida; Proteales; Proteaceae. The transcript has a single exon.
ACGACCUUACUUGAACAGGAUCUGUUCUAUAGGCUCGUACCUCUGUAUCCUUGAGUUCAAAGGAGACAGGAACAUAAGUCUGGUUGAUGAGGCGUGGCUAUGUGAUCAGAGCGUGAUUAACAGCUUCGAUGGGUUAAAUGACUCAUGAAGCGGUAUAGGAUCGUUCCCAUGGCUGGUUAACAGUCCUGGGGUGGUCACACAGCUGUCUGACAGACU